Vanessa tameamea is the source of this 342-nucleotide long non-coding RNA. RefSeq lists it as uncharacterized. The transcript is spliced from 2 exons. Lineage: Eukaryota; Metazoa; Arthropoda; Insecta; Lepidoptera; Nymphalidae. The record is from RefSeq and is a predicted model, not a curated record.
AUUGUGGUCAUUCGUGUCGCGUCUCAUAAUAUAGUUACAGUCAUAAGCAUAUCUGCUAUCGCGACGGACAGACGUGGAAUGUAUUAAGAGAAUUAUUAAAUGACAUUCCUAUACGUUAAAUGCUACUAAUACCGUGUGAAAUUAAAACACCAUUAAAAUGAUACGUAUGAUAACUUUGACGAUAUUUGCCGUUUUUCUAUUCGACAUCGUCAGUUCAGCGAUAUUACCAACGAUGUCUGACAAUAUGGCGUCAGGAGAGAGAUCAAAUAUGACAGAUGACUAUAAGAAAUACAACUAUAUUAUAACGACAUAUUUAUAGUGCCUACUUCCCUACAUAUUAUU